Molecule: small nucleolar RNA, 118 nt
Organism: Humulus lupulus (European hop)
Lineage: Eukaryota; Viridiplantae; Streptophyta; Magnoliopsida; Rosales; Cannabaceae
Product: small nucleolar RNA snoR143
Exons: 1
Source: RefSeq, a predicted model, not a curated record
UUGUAAAUAUUUACAAAGAGGACUUGAGAUCAGGCAGCGGCCAGACAACCGUAGAGAUGAUUUCCACAGAUGAAGGGCUUAAUUUCAUCCCUUUGUCUACUAAAAUCAUCUCACAUUU